Non-coding RNA from Cordylochernes scorpioides, 69 nucleotides. The record is from the annotation of a GenBank genome assembly. Lineage: Eukaryota; Metazoa; Arthropoda; Arachnida; Pseudoscorpiones; Chernetidae.
AUCGGUGGUUCAGUGGUAGAAUGCUCGCCUGCCAUGCGGGCAGCCCGGGUUCGAUUUGAUGCAUCGAUG